UGGAAAAAAUAUUCUCAGUCGUCUUAGUUGGACGCGUGAACGAUAAAAAAGUCCGACGAGCACCAAGAUUCGCGCGCUACCACACGUGGAAAUCAUUAUCCGACAACGAGAGGAAUACUCCAUUAUACCACCCGUGAUCCAUUGCGACGAAUAUAUUCUGAAAACGAGCAGUAAUUGAAUGAGUGAAAGAUCAGAUCCGCAUGGUAGGAUUGGGACAAAAACGGAUCACAAUCAGCGCAGAACGGACAUGGUCAUCGGAGUCUAAUCAAG
Molecule: long non-coding RNA, 270 nt
Organism: Armigeres subalbatus
Lineage: Eukaryota; Metazoa; Arthropoda; Insecta; Diptera; Culicidae
Exons: 3
Source: RefSeq, a predicted model, not a curated record